RNAcentral lists this ribosomal RNA (301 nucleotides) under uncultured bacterium. Its description in RNAcentral is "partial 16S ribosomal RNA". It matches the Rfam family "Bacterial small subunit ribosomal RNA", at positions 509 to 807 of the family's 1533-position model. The record is from RNAcentral.
CAGUAGCCACGGUAAUACGGAGGGUGCAAGCGUUAAUCGGAAUUACUGGGCGUAAAGCGCACGCAGGCGGUUUGUUAAGUCAGAUGUGAAAUCCCCGAGCUUAACUUGGGAACUGCAUUUGAAACUGGCAAGCUAGAGUCUUGUAGAGGGGGGUAGAAUUCCAGGUGUAGCGGUGAAAUGCGUAGAGAUCUGGAGGAAUACCGGUGGCGAAGGCGGCCCCCUGGACAAAGACUGACGCUCAGGUGCGAAAGCGUGGGGAGCAAACAGGAUUAGAGACCCCUGUAGUCCCUGUCUCUUAUAC